GAUGAACGCUGGCGGCGUGCCUAAUACAUGCAAGUCGAGCGAACAGAUGAGGAGCUUGCUCCUCUGACGUUAGCGGCGGACGGGUGAGUAACACGUGGAUAACCUACCUAUAAGACUGGGAUAACUUCGGGAAACCGGAGCUAAUACCGGAUAAUAUAUUGAACCGCAUGGUUCAAUAGUGAAAGACGGUUUUGCUGUCACUUAUAGAUGGAUCCGCGCCGCAUUAGCUAGUUGGUAAGGUAACGGCUUACCAAGGCAACGAUGCGUAGCCGACCUGAGAGGGGGAACGGCCACACUGGAACUGAGACACGGUCCAGACUCCUACGGGAGGCAGCAGUAGGGAAUCUUCCGCAACGGGCGAAAGCCUGACGGAGCAACGCAGCGUGAGUGAUGAAGGUCUUCGGAUCGUAAAACGCUGUUAUUAGGGAAGAACAAAUGUGUAAGUAACUAUGCACGUCUUGACGGUACCUAAUCAGAAAGCCACGGCUAACUACGU
RNAcentral lists this ribosomal RNA (496 nucleotides) under uncultured bacterium. Its description in RNAcentral is "partial 16S ribosomal RNA". It matches the Rfam family "Bacterial small subunit ribosomal RNA", at positions 28 to 506 of the family's 1533-position model. The record is from RNAcentral.